Molecule: non-coding RNA, 73 nt
Organism: Paramuricea clavata
Lineage: Eukaryota; Metazoa; Cnidaria; Anthozoa; Malacalcyonacea; Plexauridae
Source: the annotation of a GenBank genome assembly
GACCACAUAGCUCAGUUGGCAGAGCAUUGGACUAGUAUCCCAAAGGUCGCGGGUUCGAUUCCCACCGUGGUCA